AGUAAAGCGGCGAACGGGUGAGUAACACGUAACUAACCUACCCCCAGGACGGGCACAACUCCGGGAAACCGGGGCUAAUACCCGAUGGCAUCGCUUGCUCAUAAGGGUGAGCGAUUAAAGAGGCUUCGGCCUCGCCUGAGGAGGGGGUUGCGGCCUAUCAGCUAGACGGUGAGGUAACGGCCCACCGUGGCGAUGACGGGUAGGGGGCCUGAGAAGGUGGCCCUCCACAUGGGGACUGAGAUACGGCCCUGACUCCUACGGGAGGCAGCAGUAGGGAAUCUUCGGCAAUGGGCGAAAGCCUGACCGAGCGACGCCGCGUGGGGGAGGAAGGCCUUCCGGGUCGUAAACCCCUUUUCUGGGGGAAGAAUAAGCGUCGGAGGUA
RNAcentral lists this ribosomal RNA (382 nucleotides) under uncultured bacterium. Its description in RNAcentral is "SSU rRNA". It matches the Rfam family "Bacterial small subunit ribosomal RNA", at positions 89 to 464 of the family's 1533-position model. The record is from RNAcentral.